AUACGGGGGGUGCAAGCGUUAAUCGGAAUUACUGGGCGUAAAGCGCGCGUAGGCGGUUUGCUCAGUCGUAUGUGAAAGCCCAGGGCUCAACCUUGGAACUGCAUACGAUACUGGCAAACUAGAGUGUGAGAGAGGAUAGUGGAAUUUCCGGUGUAGCGGUGAAAUGCGUAGAUAUCGGAAGGAACAUCAGUGGCGAAGGCGACUGUCUGGCUCAACACUGACGCUGAGGUGCGAAAGCGUGGGUAGCAAACAGGAUUAGAAACCCUAGUAGUCC
RNAcentral lists this ribosomal RNA (274 nucleotides) under uncultured bacterium. RNAcentral's name for it is "partial 16S ribosomal RNA". It matches the Rfam family "Bacterial small subunit ribosomal RNA", at positions 523 to 796 of the family's 1533-position model. The record is from RNAcentral.